This 441-nucleotide ribosomal RNA is filed under the name uncultured bacterium. RNAcentral's name for it is "partial 16S ribosomal RNA". It matches the Rfam family "Bacterial small subunit ribosomal RNA", at positions 338 to 795 of the family's 1533-position model. The record is from RNAcentral.
CCUACGGGUGGCAGCAGUGGGGAAUAUUGCACAAUGGGGGAAACUCUGAUGCAGCGACGCCGCGUGAGUGAUGAAGUAUUUCGGUAUGUAAAGCUCUGUCAGCAGGGAAGAAGGAAGACGGUACCUGCCGAAGAAGCUCCGGCUAACUACGUGCCAGCAGCCGCGGUAAUACGUAGGGGGCAAGCGUUAUCCGGAUUUACUGGGCGUAAAGGGAGCGUAGACGGCUGUGCAAGUCUGAAGUGAAAGCCCAGGGCUCAACCCUGGGACUGCUUUGGAAACUGUGGAGCUAGAGUGCUGGAGAGGUGAGUGGAACUCCAAGUGUAGCGGUGAAAUGCGUAGAUAUUAGGAGGAACACCAGUGGCGAAGGCGGCUCACUGGACAGUAACUGACGUUGAGGCUCGAAAGCGUGGGGAGCAAACAGGAUUAGAUACCCGAGUAGUC